Diprion similis is the source of this 250-nucleotide long non-coding RNA. RefSeq lists it as uncharacterized. Lineage: Eukaryota; Metazoa; Arthropoda; Insecta; Hymenoptera; Diprionidae. The record is from RefSeq and is a predicted model, not a curated record. The transcript has 2 exons.
AAUUGAAAUACAUCUUUCUUAGUGUUUUUUCCUAUGAUAGAUGUAUUUUUUUCCAUUUUUUUGGGGUUGUUUGAUGCUGCUAAUUGUUUCUUGAUAAUAUAUGGCAAUAAUUCGCCUUUAAUAGAGCUGAUGCUCCUUGUCAAUUAGUACUGCAGUGACAAUACAGCAAUUGAUUUACACCUGUGGCAUGAAGCUUCAUUUCUCGACAAAACUUCAGUACCUCUGGAAUAUGCUCCAGGGCAGUGACUAA